RNAcentral lists this small nucleolar RNA (83 nucleotides) under Tinamus guttatus (white-throated tinamou). RNAcentral describes it as "Small nucleolar SNORD12/SNORD106". It matches the Rfam family "Small nucleolar SNORD12/SNORD106". Rfam says of the family: This family belong to the C/D class of snoRNA which contain the C (UGAUGA) and D (CUGA) box motifs. Lineage: Eukaryota; Metazoa; Chordata; Aves; Tinamiformes; Tinamidae. The record is from Rfam by way of RNAcentral.
GCUGGUGUACGUGAUGACCAGACUUUUUUCCCCAUCAGAGCGACAGUGUUGAUUCCUCAUCACUAGCCAUCUGAUGCACCAGC